GAAAGGAAGAAAACUGUCUUAUAUGUUGUUAUAUUUCAGCUAAGAGUUCAAGGAAAAAUUCAGCCAAGAAAUCAGCUGACUCCUAAUCAGAGUUCUAAUGCAGCCAUUUAUAGCUCUUCAUGCUGCUUCAUCACCCAGGUCUAUGUGGGGAUGCGCCUGGAUAUUUGUCAAAGUAUCUUGACAGAUCAUAUGCAAUGCACAAGGCAGGAACAGUUUUCCCAGACACAUUAAAAAUGUCCACAUUCAAGGGGAAAAAAAAUCAACUGAUGCACUCACUGCAUCCUUGUUGACUGGUGGCUCAUUACAGAGGCUAAUAAGAGAAAAUACAUUCUCAUAUACUGAUCAUUGGAGCUCAGAGAAUUUGAAGAGAGCCACCUGCUGAGUAAGUAUCCAUUUUUGCUUCUGACUUUG
Long non-coding RNA from Bos indicus x Bos taurus (hybrid cattle), 411 nucleotides. NCBI's taxonomy places the organism in Eukaryota, Metazoa, Chordata, Mammalia, Artiodactyla, Bovidae. The record is from Ensembl.